This is a long non-coding RNA of Melitaea cinxia (Glanville fritillary), 405 nucleotides long. RefSeq lists it as uncharacterized. The transcript has 3 exons. The record is from RefSeq and is a predicted model, not a curated record. Lineage: Eukaryota; Metazoa; Arthropoda; Insecta; Lepidoptera; Nymphalidae.
CGCUCGAAUUGAGUAACCUUUUCCUUUUUUGUACUCAGUUAAAAAUGGCGCAUUAAAACUUUAUAAACCUUAUAUAAAGGUAUGUAGUUAUUUGAUAGUUUAAAAUAGUGAUUAAAAAUAGCUAAUAGCUUACAAUGAAAAGAGAACCCCGAAUAUAUCUUACGUAAUGUGAAAAGCAAUGUACGUAUCAAAAUCAGUAAAAUUUCCGUUCUGUACGCGUACUUAUCGCAGCGAUACGACGUCAUAACUUUGUGUUAUUGUUUUUAAUUCUAGCGCCUGUCUGUCUGACAGAUUGAACCAUUUCAAUAGAACAAAGGCAAGUCCCUUUGUUGUCCUUGUGUAAUAGUGUGAGUAAGCGAUGUUAGUACCUGAUUAUUAAUAGUAAAAAUACUCUUUAUUGUACAC